Molecule: ribosomal RNA, 497 nt
Filed under: uncultured bacterium
Lineage: Bacteria
Description: partial 16S ribosomal RNA
Rfam family: Bacterial small subunit ribosomal RNA
Source: RNAcentral
GAUGAACGCUGGCGGCGUGCCUAAUACAUGCAAGUCGAGCGAACAGACGAGGAGCUUGCUCCUCUGACGUUAGCGGCGGACGGGUGAGUAACACGUGGAUAACCUACCUAUAAGACUGGGAUAACUUCGGGAAACCGGAGCUAAUACCGGAUAAUAUAUUGAACCGCAUGGUUCAAUAGUGAAAGACGGUUUUGCUGUCACUUAUAGAUGGAUCCGCGCCGCAUUAGCUAGUUGGUAAGGUAACGGCUUACCAAGGCAACGAUGCGUAGCCGACCUGAGAGGGUGAUCGGCCACACUGGAACUGAGACACGGUCCAGACUCCUACGGGAGGCAGCAGUAGGGAAUCUUCCGCAAUGGGCGAAAGCUUGACGGAGCCACGCCGCGUGAGUGAUGAAGGUCUUCGGAUCGUAAAACUCUGUUAUUAGGGAAGAACACAUGUGUAAGUAACUAUGCACGUCUUGACGGUACCUAAUCAGAAAGCCACGGCUAACUACGUG